This 300-nucleotide ribosomal RNA is filed under the name Triticum aestivum (bread wheat). Its description in RNAcentral is "partial small subunit ribosomal RNA". The record is from RNAcentral. Lineage: Eukaryota; Viridiplantae; Streptophyta; Magnoliopsida; Poales; Poaceae.
UUUUGGGUCCUCAUGGUCAUGGCAGUCUUUACGAAGAACAGGGUUGUUGCCGUGUGCUUGGGGGCUCUCAUGCUCAUGGCGACCCUUGAUCUCUCCUCGGCAGGUUCAGUCUAUGUUGGAUGUUUCGAGCCACACCAGAACUGCUUCCCAGAUGAGUGUCAGAAGACAUGCGUGGACAAUGUUCCUGGAAACAAUCUGAAAGGUUCCUGCGAGCCGGACCAUGGCCCACUAAAACCGUAUCCCGCGGUUCAGUGUUGUUGCUAUAGAGACCCUCCGGUCAUGAGUAACAUGGGCGCUUAA